GACGAACGCUGGCGGCGUGCUUAACACAUGCAAGUCGAACGGAAAGGCCCUGCUUUUGUGGGGUGCUCGAGUGGCGAACGGGUGAGUAACACGUGAGUAACCUGCCCUUGACUUUGGGAUAACUUCAGGAAACUGGGGCUAAUACCGGAUAGGAGCUCCUGCUGCAUGGUGGGGGUUGGAAAGUUUCGGCGGUUGGGGAUGGACUCGCGGCUUAUCAGCUUGUUGGUGGGGUAGUGGCUUACCAAGGCUUUGACGGGUAGCCGGCCUGAGAGGGUUACCGGCCACAUUGGGCCUGCGAUACGGCCCAGACUCCUACGGGAGGCAGCAGUGGGGAAUAUUGCACAAUGGGCGGAAGCCUGAUGCAGCAACGCCGCGUGCGGGAUGACGGCCUUCGGGUUGUAAACCGCUUUCGCCUGUGACGAAGCGUGAGUGACGGUAAUGGGUAAAGAAGCACCGGCUAACUACGUG
Molecule: ribosomal RNA, 468 nt
Filed under: uncultured bacterium
Lineage: Bacteria
Description: partial 16S ribosomal RNA
Rfam family: Bacterial small subunit ribosomal RNA
Source: RNAcentral